AAUAGAACUAAUAAAAAUAAGAAGCAUCUCUUUAGUGACACUGACACAGAAUACAGAGGUGAUGACAGCAAGACAGAUAUCAGUUGGCUACGAGAGUCUAACAGAAAACCUAAACCCCAACUAAUAGACUACAGCAGAACUAAAAAUCUGAAGAAAUCUAAAAGUAUAGAAGCAACAGAUACGUUCUGUGACCCUGCAUGUCUGAUGGAUAUAUCUGAAGGGAAAAAAACAAAAAAUAAAAAGGUACCCGGUAGUAAAAAACAAAAUACAAAAGCUGAUGAGAGAAUAAAACAGACAACCAGACCAAAAUGGCCUCGAAGAGCAGCAUUAGCAAAAAAAAGUUAUAAGGAUUACUCAAAUUCAGAGUCAGAAAGUGAACAGGAAUCUUCACAGUACUUACGUCGGAAAGAAAAAUUCAGAGUACAGCAAGAGCACAAAAAUGGCCAAAACAAAGCUGUGAGUCAACACAAGGAACUACAGAACAAUGUUUCUACAGAGCCAAAAAAGGGAAUAUCAAGAAAUCAACAGCAAAUAUUUACUAAAUCAAAAGACCCUAUAAAACAAAGAAAAUUAGAAAUGUCACCAGUAGCCUCACCUGAAAGCCCAGCAUCUGUUGAGACGAUGAGAUGUGUGUAUUAUUUUGUAUUUUAA
RNAcentral lists this long non-coding RNA (651 nucleotides) under Chrysemys picta bellii (western painted turtle). RNAcentral describes it as "lncRNA (ENSCPBG00000027039.1)". The record is from RNAcentral. Lineage: Eukaryota; Metazoa; Chordata; Testudines; Emydidae.